Molecule: ribosomal RNA, 68 nt
Filed under: uncultured eukaryote
Lineage: Eukaryota
Description: partial small subunit ribosomal RNA
Source: RNAcentral
CACGGCGGGGUUCGUGACUGGGGUGAAGUCAUAACAAGGUAGCCGUAGGUGAACCUGCAGAAGGAUCA